AGCUUUGAGCUAAAUAUAUUAUAAUAUUAGUUAUUUAAAAAAGGUGUCGUAUAACCUUAUUAAAAAUUAUAUUUAGGGGUGAUAGGCUUUUCAAAAACUAAGAUAUCUUGAAUCUAAUUAAAAGUAUGUAGUACAAUUAACACGACUAUUAAGUGAUUAGGCUUUAUAGGACUAUUAAACUUUAAGAUAUUUUAUUUAUUAUAAUUUAAUAACUAAGUAUAUAUAAAAAUUAACAUUCAUAUAUUGUAUUUUAUAAAAGAAUAAUUAGAUAGAUUUAAGUUUAUAAAAAUUGUAAUAAUGUUAAUAUUAGUAUAUAAUUUAUAUUUAUAUGAUGAACUCGGCAAAAAUGCUUCUCAACUGUUUAUCAAAAACAUAACUAUGUGAAAAAAUACAUAGCGGUUUCUGCUCAA
This 410-nucleotide ribosomal RNA is filed under the name Mandarina sp. B AD-2007. Its description in RNAcentral is "partial 16S ribosomal RNA". The record is from RNAcentral. Lineage: Eukaryota; Metazoa; Mollusca; Gastropoda; Stylommatophora; Camaenidae.